UGGGUGUGUGUGGUCGAUCGACCAGGAGCAGGAGAAAGGGGGUGAAACCCUAACUCAACAAAAUCUUCCAAUUUGAGGAUCAAUUCAAGACCAAAUCGAAGCAUAAACGCGUAUAAAUGAUCACCUAGUUAUGGGGAUCAUGAGGUAUGUCAUAAAACCUAGAUUGGUUAAAGUUGAAUUUUGAGACAAGUAGGUUACUAGCAAAUAGAUUGUUGGAUUAUGAUCCAAAAAUUGAACUUGAAUGUUUAUGUAUGUUUAAUUUCGUUAGUUAUGAUGAAAUUAUGAGAAACUUGGUGUAAUAUUACUUGUAAGAGAUUAACAAGUAAACUAGGAAGUGGGUUUGACUAAAUAGUGAAGAGGAUGAUAUAUUGGUGUUUAAAAAUCAUCAUAAUUCAUAGUUGAAGCGAGAUAUUUGAACAAAUUAUAAGUUCAGAUGAAAGCUUAUGCAUGACUUGAAAUGGGUUAUAGUAUGUUAUGAUAAAAAUUUGGUAAUUUUGAUUCAUGUAAAUAGUUGUAUGAAAUUGUGUCAUAUACUUGUUCAUAUGAAGAACUUGAUUCUAUUAGGCGUUCGGAAUGAAUGCUAAAUAGUAUUAUGAAAUGGGUCUCACUAAUAGUAGGGAACCCUUAGUUCUUUUGGAAAUGAAUAAAUAAGUUAGAUUUAGUAAUCACUUGAACUAGUUGAAGUAUUGGAAAUAUAAGGAACCGGGAUAAAAGAUUUGUUAAACGGUGGCUUUAAAGAACGCCUACCGGGUGAUUUGAGAAAUGCCAAAACUAGUUGAUAAACUGGAAUGUGCAUUUUAUAUACUAAUAGGCAAUUGACUUUUUAAAAGUCAAACCGACCAUUAAUAAGAUCGAAUGAUAAUUUUGAUAGAAAAUACGUAAGAUGGAAUAGUCAUGAUUGACAAUGACUAAACUAACUAUCUUACGAAAUAUGAUGAUAGUUUGACGCCUAACAAACUAGGUGGAAGCUUGUGGAUGGAGCGGGUCAAACGAAGCAAGUACGAAAAGAAAAGCAUAACCGGAUGCAAGUCGUAUGUUCACAGGAGUGAACCGGAGGUGGAUAAGUGCGUCGCUAUAAAGUAGUGGCAAAUAAAAGCAAGGUAUAAAUCGGGUCUAUACGUUGACCCGAGCCAGGUAUCCUUGGAUGAGGGAUGAUGGUCAAGCUCUACGAAGAACCGAACACGAUCAAGAUAAAAGCUUCCGCAUGUUGUUUCGUCGUCAUUUUUAAACGACGAAACCAUUCAUAUUAAGUUGUAUUACCUUUAAAUUGUAAAAUUUUUAAUAAACUCGUAUUUCUUAAUGUAUAUGUACUCAUAAUUACAUGUUUAUUUCCGUAAGUUAUACGGAAAUCGUUAAAUAAUAAUAAGGGUCUUACAGU
RNAcentral lists this long non-coding RNA (1378 nucleotides) under Helianthus annuus (common sunflower). RNAcentral describes it as "sRNA HanXRQr2_Chr08g0353171". The record is from RNAcentral. Lineage: Eukaryota; Viridiplantae; Streptophyta; Magnoliopsida; Asterales; Asteraceae.